Pelodiscus sinensis (Chinese soft-shelled turtle) is the source of this 1985-nucleotide non-coding RNA. Lineage: Eukaryota; Metazoa; Chordata; Testudines; Trionychidae. The record is from RefSeq and is a predicted model, not a curated record.
UGUGUGCGUGUGGGGGGAGUACACACUAACCACUGCCCCGCGUACAGCCAGCGACAGCCACCAAAGAACGGCCCAAAGGUGCUGACAUUAACUGGGUCUGAAGCUAAACUACAGUGCUGGCCGCCACUAGAUCUCGCUGGUUCCCCGUCUAGGGACUGGGAAUUCUCCCUGCUGCCCAUGGCCCGGGCCCAUCUUGUCUCUCCUUUCAAAAGUUGAGAGACAGAUUUUCCAAGGGGGAGGACAGAGCUGAGGAGGAAAAGGCAAGAGAAAGGGGAGAGCUGGAAAGAGGGACCGAAACGGAGUGAGAAACCAGACCCCGGCUCCGGCCCUUUGGAAGCGACUCGGAGGCUCUGAGGUUCUUGUAACGCGGCCGCUUCGUUUUGAGCUGCCCUGGGCCGGGGGUUCGAUCCUGUAGCCGCGAUCUCCAAGGCAAGGGCCCCGGUCGCUAACCCUGCAGAAGGGCAUCUCUGGUGGUUUCCUCAUCCCAGCUACGCCCCCCUGCAGCUCGGCCAAAGCCUGCUCUCCAUGCAAAUCGACCCGGCUCCGGAGAAGGGCCGGGCUCUGCGCUACCUGUGUCCUCGUCCUACUUCUGCUCUGGCAGGGACAAGUCUUUGUGCCUCAGUUUACCCCCCCGCAGCCUCUGUCUGUGAGUCCUGUGGGACACUUACUGCAAGUGCCUAGCACAGGGGCCCUGGUCACAGCUAGGACCUGCAUGUGCUGCUGUAAUGCAAAUCCUCCAUCACCUUCUGGGGAGUGGCCCUGGAUUUCCAGGGCUCUCUGAGCUCAGAAUCGGGUCCGCCUGUGAACGCAGCCACGCCGCUCCUGCUCAGCCGGGCUUGGACAUCCCCCGCUUUCUCCAUGGAGGUCACACUGGCUGCGAAACUGAAGGGUAACUCACCGACAACCCGGUUCUUUUUGCAAAGCUUUCGAAUGAGGCGAUGUGGUGAGCUGGGCUGUGCCAGGGGCUGGGCUUUGGGGCCUGCCCUGGUGCACGCGAGGCUCAGGAAGCGGCUCGUGUGCCUGCGUGCUGUGCUGGAUCGGGCCCACACGGCUCAGGAACUUGCAGGAUUGAGACCAGAUGGAUGUGACAACGCGGGAGCAUCGGAAAGCAGCCGAACUCUUUCCACGCCUGCACCUUCCCCUCAAAGCAAGAUUAGUUUCUUUGGGCUCCGCGGCCGAGGGAUUCCGCUGCUGACCGGAUGCUGUUGGCAGGAGUAUUUGUGGAACCAGUGAGAGUGAAAGUUAGUGAACGCUCAGGGAAAGUGAAUUGUUUUUCACGUGCGUAUUUUCACCACAGACCUAACCUGAAAAGGGAUGUGCAUCCAAACGGGAGGGGAUGAGAGUAGAUGACCUCUGACCCCAGUGCAAGCUAAUCAACACAAUUUGGAUGAGUGCCAAAUCUUUUCCAGCAGAUCAUUUCUGAUGACAAAGGGUUGUGAGGGAUUGUCUGCUAAUCGCAGGAGGGGAGAGGCUAACUGUGGGUAGAAUGAUCCUUGUGGUGUUGUCGGGGCAGCAAUUAAAGAGACUAGCAGGCCCGCCUGCCAUGCACAGCCCUGAUUUCAGGAAGUGAAAGUGACCAUAAACAGAAAGUGAAACUGAGUUACGUUGUUUCAAGUCUAGGGAAGUGCAAAAAGGAAACAAACAGUGUCACUGGUGAAAGGUGAGUUUGAUUUCAGUCCUCCACCCCGAUGCUUGCCGGGUGUUAACGUGCAGGUGGGGAGGGAGAAGAUGGUCGUUUAAGGAAGGGGGCUGUGCCCACGAAAGCUCAGGACAGUGCCUGUCUGUGUUUGAGUCUCCCCGGUGCCACAGGCCCGCUCGUUGUGUUUGAAGACGAGCUGGCAUGGCCGGCAGGGGUUGGGUAAGAGAUCUGCUUGGGAGAAGCUCUGCUCGACGCCGGAAGCGCAGCGUUUGCUCUCUCGGCGCCGCACGCACGCCAGUCCGGCAGUGUGACAGGAGACCCAAGAGCUGGAAAAGGCUGGUCAGAU